This 1487-nucleotide long non-coding RNA is filed under the name Homo sapiens (human). RNAcentral describes it as "HSALNT0332939". The record is from RNAcentral. Lineage: Eukaryota; Metazoa; Chordata; Mammalia; Primates; Hominidae.
CUCACUAAUUAAUGCUGGAGGUGGUGGGACUGCCAAGAUGAAUAGACAUAAUCCUCGAUCUAACCACUUCACAGUUUAUCAUCGGAGUCAAGUUUGCAGAUAAACAAUUGCCAUGCAACUUUCAAGUUGAGAAUAACUCAUCCAGGGUUGUUGAAUGGUGGAGGAUCUUCCAAAAUCAGCAGCUAGGAGGUCGAGAACCCUUCAUGCCAUACUAAGAAGUUUCAUGCUAGGCAAAGAAGAGUGACAAGGUAUUUCAACAGGUGAAUGAUAGGUACACAAAGAAGGAUUACCACAGGAAAUCCAGAGAGGCUUUAGAAGACGAGCUUGCGUUGAGAUAGAAGCCGGAAGCCCACUUAGCCAACUGCCUCCAUGGGACUUGGCAUGAGGCAGGCUUAUGACAGUAAAUGCUACACUGCCCUCAGUGAAAAAGAGAAUUUGGCAUUCAUUCUUCUGAACCCGCCAUCCCUCAGCCUUGGCGCCUGGGAAUUCUGCGAAUCGUUGCCUGUGGCAGUGACACUGAUUUGUAUCUGGGUAUGAACUUAAAUGAAAACAUGAAUUGAACUCAUUACUUGAGGAAGGAAACACUGCCAAAUUUAACAGGAUGAAAUUCCAGCAGGGUGUAAGGUUUUAUGGGGCUACAGUGGAAUAUCUCAUAGAAAGGUUUCCAGUUCAUAAAACACUUUCAAAACAUGCUCGGCCCUUUUAAGUUGAAGGGACAUUAUCAUUUCUAUCUAUGGCAUUUCUCUGCAAAUUGAACUCAAAUAUCCUUUGGGCUGACUACACAGAGAACAGAAGAAAGAAGUGGAAGAAACUUGGACUGAAGAUUGCCUCCCUGAAAAGGUUUUCUUCAGGCAGAAUUAGGUGAGAACAAAUGACAUCAGAAAGUAGCAUGUCAGUAUACUGCUGCCAGCUCCAUAUGGUUCAGCUUGUUUUCACAGGUAUUUAAUUAAUUCCACAAACAUAUAUUGAGUAUCAGAUGUGGGAUCCUGUUCAACACAUUUGGGGUACAGUAGUCAAUUAGUCUACUCUCAUGGCACAUACAUGCUGGAAGGAGAGAAAAACAAUAAAUAAAUGAACAAAAGAUGCAGUAUCAGGUAGUGAUCAUUGCUAUCAAGAAAAAUAAAGCAAGAGAAAAUGGGAUAGAAGGUGUCAGGGGUGCGGGGUGACAUUUUACAUAGUGUGUUUGGCAAAGGCAAUUCUCAGGUGGUGACAUUUGAACAGAAGCUUGAAUGAAGUGACCUACAUGUUGAAUCCAGAAAGCUAAUUUUAUAUAUAUAUAUUUUUGGAAGGGGGCAGGAGAUAAUAAGCUAGUAAAAGGGUUGGGAAAUUAUUUUGAUUCAAGGAUGCCCAGUUUAAAAAACUGUAAGAGACAGCCCCUCUUUUUCUCCCAGUAUAGCGCUUUCGGUGGCCAUUUGAAUAGAGCUCUGCAUGUUUCCUUGGGAUUUUCUGGUGUUCAUGGCAUAACAACCAGCCAGCAGUCUUCUGGC